ACCGUCAAAACGGUUGAAUCGGAGCUCUCGGGAGGGUUGCGCGACAUCGACUGGCGGGGAAGGACGGACUCUCGUCGGCUCGCUCCUCCGUUUCCAAAGCCCUCGUCUUUCCUAGGCUCAGUUUGCGUGGCCUUCGGACCCCCAGCUGCCUAAAAUUCCCGGUUAUCCGUUGGGGUUGGCCUUGGUGCUGUGGCUGCGUUCAACGGUUGCCUUCAUUAGACAGAGAAGGGCAUCAUUCCUGAGAGAGUUCCCCCUCUCCCCUCAUAAAAAUGCCUUUUGGGACUCUUUAAACAAGUCGGCAGUUUUUCCCUUUGGAGAUCAGUUAGAUUUUUGCACACCCACUGGCAGGUCACCUGUCUCAACAAGACACCCUGAUUAUCAAACUGGGGGUGGUUUUACAGUUUCAGUGUGCAAGAGCCCUUGAUGUGACAUUGUCUGCUAAGUUAUAUGUUUGCCCGUUCUUGCAACAGCUGAAACCUUUGGUUCUAGCACUGCCUUCCUCAACUGGGAGCGAGACAUCUUUGUCUUCAGACACAUCCGCUUCUUUCAGCCAGAUACCUUUGGAAUAAUUUCAGAGGCUGCGAGCGUGAAUGAUGAAGGUUUUUUUUAGCACUUCUAUGGAAAGGGACAGCUAUGAGAAAGGUGCGCCAACUAGGUCUCAUUGGGUGACAAGAUCUAAGCAAGCAGACCUGGAGUCACCCAUUCUUAUUUGGCUUGAUUGGAUAGGCAUGUACCUUCAGAGAGAGGCCUUCUUGCACGAGCCAAUUCAAAACAAUUUCCAGAAGCAAAGUACAAAAUGAUGGGUAAGACUGAAUUUGUGAGAAUUAAAGAACAAAGUGGAAGCUGAGAUCUGGCGUGAUGGAAAAGAAGAGCAGUAAGUAGGAGAUAAAACCGAGGAUCACCUACCUAUGCAUGGUUGGGCCAUGAAGAUUUCCUGUGAAGAGAUUCGUGAUGUCUAAUACCCAUCUGGGACCCAGUGCUCUUUUCUCUUCUUUUGCAAUUGCUUUAAUCAAAAACAAAGCCUCUGGAAGUGAAAGCCUUUGAAGAAACAAGGCUUCGCUGUGAUCAGAAAAACACACUAGCCUGGCUUGGAGAGCCAGAAUGUUUGGAACAAGUUGAAAAGUUUUAUUUUCCCUAACCUUGUUCUGGGCAAUGUAAUUCAAUCCAGAACAUUAUGUUAAGUACAUCCAGGGCAGGGAUGGGUUCCUGCCAGUUCUAACCUCUUCUAUAGAAGAGGUUCCACAAAUCUACAAUGCCGUUUAGAACCGGUUCCUGCUCCCUCCACCUGCCCGUCCACAUAUUAUCAAGAUGAAGAACGAGAGGUGGAAUCCUGGAGUUGAAGUCCACAAGUCUUAAA
Long non-coding RNA from Thamnophis elegans (Western terrestrial garter snake), 1357 nucleotides. RefSeq lists it as uncharacterized. Lineage: Eukaryota; Metazoa; Chordata; Lepidosauria; Squamata; Natricidae. The record is from RefSeq and is a predicted model, not a curated record. The transcript has 3 exons.